CCUACGGGUGGCUGCAGUGGGGAAUAUUGCACAAUGGGCGCAAGCCUGAUGCAGCCAUGCCGCGUGUGUGAAGAAGGCCUUCGGGUUGUAAAGCACUUUCAGCGGGGAGGAAGGCGGUGAGGUUAAUAACCUCAUCGAUUGACGUUACCCGCAGAAGAAGCACCGGCUAACUCCGUGCCAGCAGCCGCGGUAAUACGGAGGGUGCAAGCGUUAAUCGGAAUUACUGGGCGUAAAGCGCACGCAGGCGGUCUGUCAAGUCGGAUGUGAAAUCCCCGGGCUCAACCUGGGAACUGCAUUCGAAAAUGGCAGGCUAGAGUCUUGUAGAGGGGGGUAGAAUUCCAGGUGUAGCGGUGAAAUGCGUAGAGAUCAGGAGGAAUACCGGUGGCGAAGGCGGCCCCCUGGACAAAGACUGACGCUCAGGUGCGAAAGCGUGGGGAGCAAACAGGAUUAGAUACCCGUGUAGUC
Molecule: ribosomal RNA, 465 nt
Filed under: uncultured Klebsiella sp.
Lineage: Bacteria; Pseudomonadati; Pseudomonadota; Gammaproteobacteria; Enterobacterales; Enterobacteriaceae
Description: bacterial SSU rRNA
Rfam family: Bacterial small subunit ribosomal RNA
Source: RNAcentral